Long non-coding RNA from Dermacentor andersoni, 550 nucleotides. RefSeq lists it as uncharacterized. The record is from RefSeq and is a predicted model, not a curated record. NCBI's taxonomy places the organism in Eukaryota, Metazoa, Arthropoda, Arachnida, Ixodida, Ixodidae.
CAGAGAAAGUAGGCGGUAACUGGUGACACGCGCGUGGUAGAAGCAACGCUGCUAGGGUGGCUAGAAGGCGAUGAAUACCGGCGGCGCAAACGUGACCCCACAGCGCACCGAUGCCGCGGGGCAGCGCUGUUGACCAAGGCGGGGAUUCCCGAACAGCCCAUGCUACUUGAUCAAAAGCAGCUGCAGCGGCGAGUCCAGCGUUCUGUCUUGGCUCGGUUGCUCCAUGGCCGCGCGUACGCAUUUUGCACAGAAACCUGUAGCACCGUCUGCAGGGUACUGUUUUACUCACCGAUGGAAGUAAAGGGCAGUGAUGGCACAACGUCGCCACUCUGUUCUCAGGGGCAGGCGAUUUCAUUUGCUCUCUAGUUCUACCCUGCCCCCUCGCUCUAGGUCUUUGUCCAGAGAAGGAAUGCCCACUGCUUGAGCGGCCAUGACAGAGUCGAUGCUGCUUCAAGCUUCAACAAUUCUUGUGCCCGUUACAGCUAUGCAAGCCAACAUUUGAACCACGAAAAUUUUACUUAGCUCCUUCAGGUUUUUUAAAUAAAGUACU